Molecule: ribosomal RNA, 497 nt
Filed under: uncultured bacterium
Lineage: Bacteria
Description: partial 16S ribosomal RNA
Rfam family: Bacterial small subunit ribosomal RNA
Source: RNAcentral
GAUGAACGCUGGCGGCGUGCCUAAUACAUGCAAGUCGAGCGAACAGACGAGGAGCUUGCUCCUCUGACGUUAGCGGCGGACGGGUGAGUAACACGUGGAUAACCUACCUAUAAGACUGGGAUAACUUCGGGAAACCGGAGCUAAUACCGGAUAAUAUAUUGAACCGCAUGGUUCAAUAGUGAAAGACGGUUUUGCUGUCACUUAUAGAUGGAUCCGCGCCGCAUUAGCUAGUUGGUAAGGUAACGGCUUACCAAGGCAACGAUGCGUAGCCGACCUGAGAGGGUGAUCGGCCACACUGGAACUGAGACACGGUUCAGACUCCUACGGGAGGCAGCAGUAGGGAAUCUUCCGCAAAGGGCGAAAGCCUGACGGAGCAACGCCGCGUGAGUGAUGAAGGUCUUCGGAUCGUAAAACUCUGUUAUUAGGGAAGAACAAAUGUGUAAGUAACUAUGCACGUCUUGACGGUACCUAAUCAGAAAGCCACGGCUAACUACGUG